CAUUCAACCCAUUAGUAAUAGACAACCACUCUAAACAAACUCUCCGCAAAAGAUAAUAUAAAUUUACACUAUUGUUACAGAUCGUUCUCGAGCAUUUCAUCACACUCUUCAGACUUCACUGAACUUCAAAAUCUCGCUCUCUCCGAAUAAUUUCAUUUCAAAAUGGCUGAGGCUGCUGCCUCUAACGCUGAGCUGUUGGAGUGGCCAAAGAAAGAUAAGCGACGCAUGCUUCAUGUUGUGUAUCGUGUUGGUGAUCUUGAUCGCACCAUCAAGUUCUAUACUGAAUGCUUAGGGAUGAAGCUGUUGAGGCAAAGA
Molecule: long non-coding RNA, 315 nt
Organism: Pistacia vera
Lineage: Eukaryota; Viridiplantae; Streptophyta; Magnoliopsida; Sapindales; Anacardiaceae
Exons: 3
Source: RefSeq, a predicted model, not a curated record